Molecule: ribosomal RNA, 497 nt
Filed under: uncultured bacterium
Lineage: Bacteria
Description: partial 16S ribosomal RNA
Rfam family: Bacterial small subunit ribosomal RNA
Source: RNAcentral
GAUGAACGCUGGCGGCGUGCCUAAUACAUGCAAGUCGAGCGAACAGACGAGGAGCUUGCUCCUCUGACGUUAGCGGCGGACGGGUGAGUAACACGUGGAUAACCUACCUAUAAGACUGGGAUAACUUCGGGAAACCGGAGCUAAUACCGGAUAACAUGUUGAACCGCAUGGUUCAACGGUGAAAGACGGUCUUGCUGUCGCUUAUAGAUGGAUCCGCGCCGCAUUAGCUAGUUGGUAAGGUAACGGCUUACCAAGGCAACGAUGCGCAGCCGACCUGAGAGGGUGAUCGGCCACACUGGAACUGAGACACGGUCCAGACUCCUACGGGAGGCAGCAGUAGGGAAUCUUCCGCAAUGGGCGAAAGCCUGACGGAGCAACGCCGCGUGAGUGAAGAAGGUCUUCGGAUCGUAAAACUCUGUUAUUAGGGAAGAACAAAUGUGUAAGUAACUAUGCACGUCUUGACGGUACCUAAUCAGAAAGCCACGGCUAACUACGUG